This 253-nucleotide ribosomal RNA is filed under the name uncultured bacterium. RNAcentral's name for it is "partial 16S ribosomal RNA". It matches the Rfam family "Bacterial small subunit ribosomal RNA", at positions 524 to 776 of the family's 1533-position model. The record is from RNAcentral.
UACGGAGGGGGCUAGCGUUGUUCGGAAUUACUGGGCGUAAAGCGCACGUAGGCGGCUUUGUAAGUCAGAGGUGAAAGCCCGGAGCUCAACUCCGGAAUUGCCUUUGAGACUGCAUCGCUUGAAUCCGGGAGAGGUGAGUGGAAUUCCGAGUGUAGAGGUGAAAUUCGUAGAUAUUCGGAAGAACACCAGUGGCGAAGGCGGCUCACUGGACCGGUAUUGACGCUGAGGUGCGAAAGCGUGGGGAGCAAACAGG